This 21-nucleotide non-coding RNA is filed under the name Caenorhabditis elegans. Lineage: Eukaryota; Metazoa; Nematoda; Chromadorea; Rhabditida; Rhabditidae. The record is from RNAcentral.
UCAUCUUCUGACUUAGUUGGA